GGGGGCCGAUACACUGUACGAGA
RNAcentral lists this microRNA (23 nucleotides) under Dasypus novemcinctus (nine-banded armadillo). Its description in RNAcentral is "dno-miR-128-2-5p". Its record names the gene dno-miR-128-2-5p. RNAcentral also lists the same sequence under 7 other names. Lineage: Eukaryota; Metazoa; Chordata; Mammalia; Cingulata; Dasypodidae. The record is from miRBase by way of RNAcentral.